RNAcentral lists this transfer RNA (71 nucleotides) under Loxodonta africana (African savanna elephant). It matches the Rfam family "tRNA". Rfam says of the family: Transfer RNA (tRNA) molecules are approximately 80 nucleotides in length. Lineage: Eukaryota; Metazoa; Chordata; Mammalia; Proboscidea; Elephantidae. The record is from Rfam by way of RNAcentral.
ACAAUGGUGGUUCAGUUGUAGAAUUUUCACCUUUCACGUGGGAGACCAGGGUUUGAGUCCCAUCUUGUGUA